UCUAUCAUUGAUUAAAAGGGAAACAGGUGAAAGUCCUGUACAGUCCCGCUGCUGUAAGCUGUCGUUGAUAAGGCGAAACAACAUGCCACUGACAUUGGCCCAAAUUGGAGAUGUCGGGAAGGCUUUUCGCUUUGGAACAGCAAAGUCAGAAGACCUGCCAACAGUUUUU
Molecule: non-coding RNA, 169 nt
Filed under: uncultured Prevotella sp.
Lineage: Bacteria; Pseudomonadati; Bacteroidota; Bacteroidia; Bacteroidales; Prevotellaceae
Source: RNAcentral